CUUUGGAUCAGGAUCUAAAAGAGCAAAGACUUACUCCUAACAAAGAUGCUUGAAUAGGAAUGGAAAGCUGUUAAUCAGACUCUCCUGGCAGGCUGGAUGCUAAACCAAAAUGAUCAGCACACACACUGCCUUCACUUCAGCUAUGCCGUGGACCAGGUGAUGGUUUGGUAACUAAGGAGUCCUAGAAGUGUUACUGUCAUUCUUUGUAUUUGUUUCUGAUGCGUGUCAAAAGGUUACAGAUGCAACUGGUUUAACCGGUCUCGUGGCAAACACCUGGGGGAGCCCUGCUUGUUUCAGCUGUGGGGUGGGGAGAGGGAUGUGCCUCCUGCUGGGCUCUGCAGGGGAGGGAUGCAGGGGGCAGAGGGAUGGCUGUGUGGUCCUCACCUGGGGGCUCAGCAAAGGAGCAGGUACUUGCCCCUGCCUCAAGAAAAGGCCAAAGACCAAAUGUGGCUGGGACAAGCCAGCAGGAAGGCUCUGCGUUGACAUCUCAGAAUCUCAGCCAUACCUCCACAGAAACCAGGAACUGCUAUCUGAUGAUGCGAAGCAACACGGGCUGAAAAUCUGCUCAGAAGAGCAAGUGGUGAAGAGCUGUUAUUGGAAGCCUUCUUCUCUUACUGCAGUAGUAGACUGAAGAAUAAAAUAAACAAAAAUAAUCA
Molecule: long non-coding RNA, 656 nt
Filed under: Phasianus colchicus (ring-necked pheasant)
Lineage: Eukaryota; Metazoa; Chordata; Aves; Galliformes; Phasianidae
Description: lncRNA (ENSPCLG00000006504.1)
Source: RNAcentral